Molecule: ribosomal RNA, 495 nt
Filed under: uncultured bacterium
Lineage: Bacteria
Description: partial 16S ribosomal RNA
Rfam family: Bacterial small subunit ribosomal RNA
Source: RNAcentral
GACGAACGCUGGCGGCGUGCCUAAUACAUGCAAGUAGAACGCUGAAGGAGGAGCUUGCUCUUCUGGAUGAGUUGCGAACGGGUGAGUAACGCGUAGGUAACCUGCCUUGUAGCGGGGGAUAACUAUUGGAAACGAUAGCUAAUACCGCAUAAGAGUAGAUGUUGCAUGACAUGUACUUAAAAGGUGCAAUUGCAUCACUACCAGAUGGACCUGCGUUGUAUUAGCUAGGUGGUGGGGUAACGGCGUACCAAGGCGACGAUACAUAGCCGACCGGAGAGGGUGAUCGGCCGCCCUGGGACUGAGACACGGCCCAGACGCCUACGGGAGGCAGCAGGAGGGAAUCUUCGGCAAUGGACGGAAGUCUGACCGAGCAACGCCGCGUGAGGGAAGAAGGUUUUCGGAUCGUAAAGCUCUGUUGUAAGAGAAGAAAGAGUGUGAGAGUGGAAAGUUCACACUGUGACGGUAUCUUACCAGAAAGGGACGGCUAACUACGUG